GACGAACGCUGGCGGCGUGCUUAACACAUGCAAGUCGAACGGAAAGGCCCUGCUUUUGUGGGGUGCUCGAGUGGCGAACGGGUGAGUAACAUGUGAGUAACCUGCCCUUGACUUUGGGAUAACUUCAGGAAACUGGGGCUAAUACCGGAUAGGAGCUCCUGCUGCAUGGUGGGGGUUGGAAAGUUUCGGCGGUUGGGGAUGGACUCGCGGCUUAUCAGCUUGUUGGUGGGGUAGUGGCUUACCAAGGCUUUGACGGGUAGCCGGCCUGAGAGGGUGACCGGCCACAUUGGGACUGAGAUACGGCCCAGACUCCUACGGGAGGCAGCAGUGGUGAAUAUUGCACAAUGGGCGGAAGCCUGAUGCAGCAACGCCGCGUGCGGGAUGACGGCCUUCGGGUUGUAAACCGCUUUCGCCUGUGACGAAGCGUGAGUGACGGUAAUGGGUAAAGAAGCACCGGCUAACUACGUG
Molecule: ribosomal RNA, 468 nt
Filed under: uncultured bacterium
Lineage: Bacteria
Description: partial 16S ribosomal RNA
Rfam family: Bacterial small subunit ribosomal RNA
Source: RNAcentral